CCUGCCCUGUACAGGGGGAUAACACUUAGAAAUAGGUGCUAAAACCGCAUAAGCGCACAGUACCGCAUGGUACAGUGUGAAAAACUCCGGUGGUACAGGAUGGACCCGCGUCUGAUUAGCUGGUUGGAGGGGUAACGGCCCACCAAGGCGACGAUCAGUAGCCGGCCUGAGAGGGUGAACGGCCACAUUGGGACUGAGACACGGCCCAAACUCCUACGGGAGGCAGCGGUGGGGAAUAUUGCACAAUGGGGGAAACCCUGAUGCAACGACGCCGCGUGAGUGAAGAAUUAUUUCGGUAUGUAAAGCUCUAUCAGCAGGAAAGAUAAUGACGGUACCUGAAUAAGAAGCCCCGGCUAACUACGUGCCAGCAGCCGCGGUAAUACGUAGGGGGCAAGCGUUAUCCGGAUUUACUGGGUGUAAAGGGAGCGUACACGGCAUGGCAAGUCUGAAGUGAAAGCCCGGGGCUCAACCGCGGGACUGCUUUGGAAACUGUUAAGCUGGAGUGCAGGAGAGGUAAGUGGAAUUCCUAGUGUAGCGGUGAAAUGCGUAGAUAUUAGGAGGAACACCGGUGGCGAAGGCGUCUUACUGGACUGUAACUGACGUUGAG
RNAcentral lists this ribosomal RNA (607 nucleotides) under uncultured bacterium. Its description in RNAcentral is "bacterial SSU rRNA". It matches the Rfam family "Bacterial small subunit ribosomal RNA", at positions 125 to 750 of the family's 1533-position model. The record is from RNAcentral.